GUAGGUGGCAAGCGUUGUCCGGAAUUAUUGGGCGUAAAGCGCGCGCAGGUGGUUCUUUAAGUCUGAUGUGAAAGCCCCCCGGCUCAACCGGGGAGGGUCAUUGGAAACUGGGGAACUUGAGUGCAGGAGAGGAAAGUGGAAUUCCACGUGUAGCGGUGAAAUGCGUAGAUAUGUGGAGGAACACCAGUGGCGAAGGCGACUUUCUGGCCUGUAACUGACACUGAGGCGCGAAAGCGUGGGGAGCAAACAGGAUUAGAUACCCUGGUAGUCCACGCCGUAAACGAUGAGUGCUAAGUGUUGGGGGGGUUUCCCGCCCCCCCGUCAGUGCUGCAGCUAACGCAUUAAGCACUCCGCCUGGGGAGUACGGCCGCAAGACUG
RNAcentral lists this ribosomal RNA (378 nucleotides) under uncultured organism. RNAcentral describes it as "partial 16S ribosomal RNA". It matches the Rfam family "Bacterial small subunit ribosomal RNA", at positions 527 to 896 of the family's 1533-position model. The record is from RNAcentral.